Molecule: long non-coding RNA, 4741 nt
Organism: Mercenaria mercenaria
Lineage: Eukaryota; Metazoa; Mollusca; Bivalvia; Venerida; Veneridae
Exons: 3
Source: RefSeq, a predicted model, not a curated record
AGUUACCGCCAUUUUCAUGAUUAGCCACCAGUGAUGUCAAAACAUGGAUCAAUAAACGAAGAGUCCAGUUGUACAACAUUAUUCUACAUUUUAUCGAUAUAGGGUAAUCCAGGAGUAGUUGAAUACUGUGACAACUAUGAGUCAUCUGCAUACCGCUGCCAUGGUAAUAUUCCUGUAUGGGGCAUAUCACAUGCGGGCCAUGUACUUCCUGCUGGAAACCAAGCUUUAUAUAAAAUAUCAGUUUAUGAAGUUUGUACCAUUAUGGACAAGUCCAGACAUUUAUCAAAGAACAAUUGCAAGCAAUGAAAUGAGGUUUCUGGUUGUUCCAUCCAUUGAUGAAUCAUCUGAAGACAUUUUACCAAUAUGAACAGCUUAUCUAAAUGAAGAUAUCUUUAUGAUGUUUCCAACAACAGAAUGGCAGUGUCAGUGUAUGCCAGUUUUAAAAUAUACUUGUCCUGGCUUGCACUGUUUUGUCUUGGUAUUUUACCUCAAACUGCAAUUAAGUGGCAUGUAUGAUUGCCAUUAUUUUCAAGACAAGACACAAUGUAUUUAUUCAAUAACAGAAGGUUUGAUAAACUUGUAUUGUGCAAGUUGUUCCUUGUUCAUGACUAUUAAAGGUGGUAGAGCUGGACAAAAAUCGAGUUGCGAGUCAUUUGGAUUACUUCAGUUUUUAUCUCCCACAUUCUGUCCACUGAUGUCAGCCUCAUCAUAGGAAAGAUUUUUUAAAAGCAUUUCCAAAGUUUGAUGUCUGUAUCUCUGAGAAUGGAUAUAGUCAUGAUAAAAGUAUCUACUUGGCAGAUUUUUUUUUUGAAAACACUUGCAUCAGUGAUAUUGGAAUAUUGUUCAAACAUCACUUUUGUUUUAGAAGACAGUGCUUGAUGUGUGCUUAAUAAUGCUACGUGCAAAUGAAGAACUAUUCAUACAGAGAUGAGACUUAAGGUACAUGCAAAUGGAGACCUAUUUAUACAUACUUAUAUACUGUUAAUACACUACUUGCAGAUUAAGAACUCUUCUUAUAGAAAUGCAGCUUUUUUAUACAAUAUAAUUAUGCAGAUGGAGAACCAUUCAUUUGGAAAUAUAGCUUAUGCUACUUGCAGAUGGAGAACUAUUGAUCUGGAAUAUAGCUUAUGCUACUUGUGGACGGAGAACUGUUUGUUUGGAAUAUAGCAUAUGCUACUUGCGGACGGAGAACUAUUGAUUUGGAAUAUAGCUUAUGCUACUUGCGGAUGGAGAACUAUUGAUUUGGAAUAUAACUUGUGCUAAUUGCGGAUGGAGAACUAUUUGUUUGGAAUAUAGCUUGUGCUAAUUGCGGAUGGGGACUAUUUGUUUGGAAUAUAACUUGUACUACUUGUGGAUGGAGAACUAUUUGUUUGGAAUAUAGCUUGUGCUACUUGCGGAUGGAGAACUAUUUGUUUGGAAUAUAGCUUGUGCUACUUGUGGAUGGAGAACUAUUUGUUUGUAAUAUAGCUUAUGCUACUUGUGGAUGGAGAACUAUUAAUUUGGAAUAUAGCUUAUGCUACUUGCGGAUGGAGAACUAUUGAUUUGGAAUAUAGCUUAUGCUACUUGUGGAUGGAAUAUAGCUUAUGCUACUUGCAGGCGGAGAACUAUUUGUUUGGAAUAUAGCAUAUGCUACUUGCGGACGGAGAACUAUUGAUUUGGAAAUAUAGCUUAUGCUACUUAUGGAUGGAGAACUAUUUGUUUGGAAUAUAGCUUAUGCUACUUGUGGAUGGAGAACUAUUGAUUUGGGAAUAUAGCUUAUGCUACUUGUGGAUGGAGAACUAUUGAUUUGGAAAUAUAGCUUAUGCUGCUUGUGGAUGGAGAACUAUUGAUUUGGAAAUAUAGCUUAUGCUGCUUGCGGACGGAGAACUAUUGAUUUGGAAAUAUAGCUUAUGCUACUUGUGGAUGGAGAACUAUUGAUUUGGAAAUAUAGCUUAUGCUACUUGCGGACGGAGAACUAUUGAUUUGGAAUAUAGCUUAUGCUACUUGUGGACGGAGAACUAUUUGUUUGGAAUAUAGCUUAUGAUACUUGUGGAUGGAGAACUAUUGAUUUGGAAAUAUAGCUUAUGCUACUUGUGGAUGGAGAACUAUUGAUUUGUAAUAUAACUUAUGCUACUUGCAGACGGAGAACUAUUUGUUUGGAAUAUAGGUUAUGCUACUUGCGGAUGGAGAACUAUUGAUUUGGAAAUAUAGCUAAUGCUACUUGUGGAUGGAGUACUAUUGAUUUGGAAUAUAGCUUAUGCUACUUGCGGAUGGAGAACUAUUGAUUUGGAACAUAGCUUAUGCUACUUGCAGAUGGAGAACUAUUUGUUUGGAAUACAGCUUAUGCUACUUGUGGAUGGAGAACUAUUGAUUUGGAAAUAUAGCUUAUGCUACUUGCGGAUGGAGAACUAUUGAUUUGGAAUAUAGCUUAUGCUACUUGCGGAUGGAGAACUAUUGAUUUGGAAUAUAGUUUAUGCUACUUGCGGAUGGAGAACUAUUUGUUUGGAAUAUAGCUUAUGCUACUUGCGGAUGGAGAACUAUUGAUUUGGAAAUAUAGCUUAUGCUACUUGCGGAUGGAGAACUAUUUGUUUGGAAUACAGCUUAUGCUACUUGUGGAUGGAGAACUAUUGAUUUGGAAAUAUAGCUUAUGCUACUUGCGGAUGGAGAACUAUUGAUUUGGAAUAUAGCUUAUGCUACUUGCGGAUGGAGAAAUAUUUGUUUGGAAUAUAGCUUAUGCUACUUGUGGAUGGAGAACUAUUAAUUUGGAAUAUAGUGCUUAUGCUUCUUGUGGUUGGAGAAAUUAGGAAAACUUUUAAAAAAAUCUGCUAGAAUAAGGAAACUUGUUAUUUUAUAGUGAUUUUCCAACCCUGAUUGACUUGUAGGACGGUGAUUUCAGAGUUGUGAUAAAGAAAAAAAAAGGUGGAAAGCCAAAUUCAAGAAGAUAGCAACAGAUCUGUGAGUUUUUUAAAGCCACUUUCUGCAUCAAUGGCUCAAGUUACUGGAAUGUCAUUGUUUAACUCUUCAUAGCUACAAAAUUUUUCUGGCUUAAGAAAAUAAGAUUUUCUAGUUGUCAGUUUUUAUGAUACGUUGAUAACAUGUAUACAUGCUUCCCAACUUGAGCCAUUGUCCAUUUUCUUUUGCCUGCCAGGGAGUUGGUAACCAGGUAACCAGUGCUGUAGUUUCAUGCAGAUAUCUUCAGCUUACUUCUGUAUAUACUUUUAUUAGUUUCUGAGCUGUAAUUUAUCAUUUGUAAAAAUUUGUAGUUCACUGAAUAGGGCAGCUUUUAUGAGCUUUCUUGGUUACCAAUUAUCCCCGUCAUUACGUCUAAAGAACUUUUCAUACAAGGCACAAAUCAUUUUAUUGUAUAUAUGAAAGUCUACAUUUAUAUCUGGUCAGUCAGAUAUUGUUUGUAUGACAUAAAAAUUGCAUCAUUUAGGCUGUAAUUAAAAUUUCUUUUUGUUUGCUGUAAUGCGACCAAAAGUGUUUUUUUGUGGGUAAGGAAUUGCUUUUGCAUAUGAUUAUAUUGUGAUUCUUUUUUCAUCUGACUUAGCAGAAAAAUUGUUAAGCAGUGAUUUUCAUGGGCUGAUUGUGUUACUGCAAACAAAUAUUUUUUUAAUGGUAGCCCUAGUUUGAAUUAGUGGUGAAAAAUGUGAGAAUGUUGAUUUAUGCCUUGUUCAGCAUGUUUAGCAAACUUUAAAUUGUUCUGUGAAUACAAGCAACAUCAUAUUUUUAUUGAAACAAAGUUGACUAGUCUGACAUACAUUUAGGAUUGAUGUUUGAGGGCUGUAAAUUUAUAUGAGGGUGCUUAAUUAAGGCAUUUGGUGACCAGGAUGAAUGCCAUUUGUUAGAAGAUACUCUCUUUUUUUUUCAAGUUAUUUUAUGAACAUUUUCUCUCCAGUUAUGUUUAAAGAAGUUUCAAUAUAUAUAUAUAUGGGUAAUGGUUGACCUUUUGUUCACUUUUAAUGCAGCUGGUUUCUUGUUACCUAUUUAUGUAUAGUGAGUCAAGUUCAAAGCAUUAUUCAUAAGAUAUUUAUCACACAUUACUUACACUUUUUACACACAUUUUGUUUACUUCGCUCUGAGUAAUACCAUACAGAAUGACAUUACAAUAAUCUAAAUCAUGCAAUGUUGGCAAAAAGCCGGUCAAUAUGAGUAUUGACCGGGACGGCGGUCAAUACUGGUUAAAACCGGUCAAUACUGGUCAAUACCGGUCAAUACUGUCCGAUUCAAUAUUUUGGUCACUCUUGGGUGGUCAAUACUGGUUAAUUCAACACUUGAACAUAAUGCACAUUCACAGAUUAGAACAAGCUGUAACAGUACUGUAAAAAUAAUAAAGCAAUCUGAAUAAUAUAUAAUUUUGUUUGUUAAAAAAUAUAGUGAAUGAGUGGUCAAUACUGGUCGAUUCAGUUUUGGUCCUUGGCAACAACAAUGUGCCCUGGUCAGGCUCAGUUCUGGACAAUAUACUUAGACUAGUCAGUGGUCAAUACUAGUUUAUUAAAUGCUUUUAUCACCUAAAAGUAUAGCCUUUAUUUUAAAUUAAUUAAAAAAAAUAUAUUACUAUAAGUUACACUCAUUGAAAUGGACAGUACUGGUCAAUUCAAAUUUUGGUCCUACACAGUAUCCUUGAUCAACACAUAUAGUGGUCGAUACUGGUCAUUUAAAUACUUUGAUUGCAUAACUAAUUUUUUAGAUAAAGUUACCAUGUUCAAGCAUCUCAUUAAUACAAUGGGAUUAUUGAUCAUGACAGCUAAUUAGUAACUAG